Molecule: small RNA, 92 nt
Filed under: Arabidopsis thaliana (thale cress)
Lineage: Eukaryota; Viridiplantae; Streptophyta; Magnoliopsida; Brassicales; Brassicaceae
Description: ATSL168940
Source: RNAcentral
UCUAUGAUCAUAGGAUGGAUUUGAACAUCCAUAGAUCCAACGAUUCGUUCCACCGUCUCUUUUGUAUCUGAUGUAAAAGACCUUUGCGAUUG